RNAcentral lists this ribosomal RNA (141 nucleotides) under Sclerostagonospora cycadis. RNAcentral describes it as "partial 28S ribosomal RNA". It matches the Rfam family "Eukaryotic large subunit ribosomal RNA", at positions 1 to 138 of the family's 3401-position model. Lineage: Eukaryota; Fungi; Ascomycota; Dothideomycetes; Pleosporales; Phaeosphaeriaceae. The record is from RNAcentral.
UUUGACCUCGGAUCAGGUAGGGAUACCCGCUGAACUUAAGCAUAUCAAUAAGCGGAGGAAAAGAAACCAACAGGGAUUGCCCUAGUAACGGCGAGUGAAGCGGCAACAGCUCAAAUUUGAAAUCUGGCUUCCUUUGGGGGU